GCCGGCGUAGCUCAGUGGUAGAGCAACUCUCUUGUAAAGAGUAGGUCGUGGGUUCGAAUCCGACCGCCGGCU
RNAcentral lists this transfer RNA (72 nucleotides) under Candidatus Moraniibacteriota bacterium. RNAcentral's name for it is "tRNA-Thr". It matches the Rfam family "tRNA". Rfam says of the family: Transfer RNA (tRNA) molecules are approximately 80 nucleotides in length. The record is from RNAcentral. Lineage: Bacteria; Candidatus Moraniibacteriota.